UUGCCCCCAUCUAGUCCUAUAUAUUAUAUAUAUAACCUAACAUAACGAAACCUAACCACCGUGACAUAAUCUAAAUUUGGUUUAAAAUGAGAUCGGAUCAAAUAGGGUCAAAGAAAUAAGAUGGAUUGAAUUGGACUGGGUCAGAGUUGGGAGAUAUAACCCUCAAUGCUACCUAACCUGCCCAAAUAAUGGAGCUCUUCCUAGCAUUUUGUCACGAACUUGAAAUGAUAUUGAACACACCCUAAAUCAUCUGCAAGGAGAAACUAAUCCAGUGUAGGGCAACUCUAGCACCUAAGGACAUUCUACUCCAUUAGCAUCCUUUAAAAGCAAAUUAGACUAAGAUUGAACUAAAUUAGAAUUAGCUGUUAGCCGUCAACCUGUAUGAUCUGAACCACCCAAGCAGCUAACCUGCUCAGUAUGGAUGAGAUGGCUGUCA
This 436-nucleotide long non-coding RNA is filed under the name Elaeis guineensis (African oil palm). Its description in RNAcentral is "long non-coding RNA (EGUI_LNC077115)". Lineage: Eukaryota; Viridiplantae; Streptophyta; Magnoliopsida; Arecales; Arecaceae. The record is from RNAcentral.